AACAAACACGCGCAAUAUACACACUUUUUGUGUGCAUAUUCUUUUCUGGCCUCAAAUCAGGUAAGAUUACCCGCUGAACUUAAGCAUAUCAAUAAGCGGAGGAAAAGAAACUAACAAGGAUUCCCUUAGUAACGGCGAGUGAAGCGGGAAUAGCUCAAAUUUGAAAGCUGGCAGCAAUGUCCGCGUUGUAAUCUCGAGAAGUGUUUUCCGUGCUGGACCAUAGAUAUGUUCCUUGGAAUAGGAUGUCAAAGAGGGUGAGAAUCCCGUACAUGCUAUGGACGCCCAGUGCUUUGUGAUACACUUUCGAAGAGUCGAGUUGUUUGGGAAUGCAGCUCAAAAUGGGUGGUAAAUUCCAUCUAAAGCUAAAUAUUGGGGAGAGACCGAUAGCAAACAAGUACCGUGAGGGAAAGAUGAAAAGCACUUUGGAAAGAGAGUUAAACAGUACGUGAAAUUGUCAAAAGGGAAGCGCUUCAAGUCAGAUAUGGCUUUGAAUGUUCAGCCUUUAGGUGUAUUCAUUUUUUGUCAGGCCAGCAUCGAUUUUGAACGUCGGAUAAGGGUAGAAGGAAUGUAGCAUACUUUCGGGUAUGUGUUAUAGCCUUUUACUGGAUACGACGAUCGGGAUCGAGGUUCGCAGCACACCCUUUUUUGGGCAGGUCUUCGGACACUUU
Molecule: ribosomal RNA, 668 nt
Filed under: Meira argovae
Lineage: Eukaryota; Fungi; Basidiomycota; Exobasidiomycetes; Exobasidiales; Brachybasidiaceae
Description: eukaryotic LSU rRNA
Rfam family: Eukaryotic large subunit ribosomal RNA
Source: RNAcentral